AUCCAGCGAAUUCGGUAGAGAUACCUUAGUGCCUUCGGGAACGCUGAGACAGGUGCUGCAUGGCUGUCGUCAGCUCGUGUUGUGAAAUGUUGGGUUAAGUCCCGCAACGAGCGCAACCCUUAUCCUUUGUUGCCAGCGGUCCGGCCGGGAACUCAAAGGAGACUGCCAGUGAUAAACUGGAGGAAGGUGGGGAUGACGUCAAGUCAUCAUGGCCCUUACGAGUAGGGCUACACACGUGCUACAAUGGCGCAUACAAAGAGAAGCGACCUCGCGAGAGCAAGCGGACCUCAUAAAGUGCGUCGUAGUCCGGAUUGGAGUCUGCAACUCGACUCCAUGAAGUCGGAAUCGCUAGUAAUCGUAGAUCAGAAUGCUACGGUGAAUACGUUCCCGGGCCUUGUACACACCGCCCGUCACACCAUGGGAGUGGGUUGCAAAAGAAGUAGGUAGCUUAACCUUCGGGAGGGCGCUUACCACUUUGUGAUUCAUGACUGGGGUGAAGUCGUAACAAGGUAGGCGUAGAUGA
RNAcentral lists this ribosomal RNA (523 nucleotides) under uncultured bacterium. RNAcentral describes it as "bacterial SSU rRNA". It matches the Rfam family "Bacterial small subunit ribosomal RNA", at positions 986 to 1509 of the family's 1533-position model. The record is from RNAcentral.